CCUACGGGAGGCUGCAGUGGGGGAUAUUGGACAAUGGGGGAAACCCUGAUCCAGCGACGCCGCGUGAGUGAAGAAGUAUUUCGAUAUGUAAAGCUCUGUCAGCAGGGAAGAAAGAAAUGACGGUACCUGACCAAGAAGCCCCGGCUAACUACGUGCCAGCAGCCGCGGUAAUACGUAGGGGGCAAGCGUUAUCCGGAAUUACUGGGUGUAAAGGGAGAGUAGACGGUGAUGCAAGUCUGGAGUGAAAGGCGGGGGCCCAACCCCCGGACUGCUCUGGAAACUGUGUGACUUGAGUGCAGGAGAGGGAAGCGGAAUUCCAAGUGUAGCGGUGAAAUGCGUAGAUAUUAGGAGGAAUACCAGUGGCGAAGGCGGCUUACUGGACUAUAACUGACGUUGAGGCGCGAAAGCGUGGGGAGCAAACAGGAUUAGAUACCCGGGUAGUC
RNAcentral lists this ribosomal RNA (443 nucleotides) under uncultured bacterium. RNAcentral describes it as "partial 16S ribosomal RNA". It matches the Rfam family "Bacterial small subunit ribosomal RNA", at positions 338 to 795 of the family's 1533-position model. The record is from RNAcentral.